RNAcentral lists this non-coding RNA (30 nucleotides) under Rattus norvegicus (Norway rat). The record is from RNAcentral. Lineage: Eukaryota; Metazoa; Chordata; Mammalia; Rodentia; Muridae.
UGGAAGCAGUCCGAUGACACCUCCACAUGU